This 341-nucleotide unclassified non-coding RNA is filed under the name soil metagenome. Its description in RNAcentral is "partial contains 5.8S ribosomal RNA, internal transcribed spacer 2, and large subunit ribosomal RNA". The stretch from base 1 to 120 matches the Rfam family "5.8S ribosomal RNA", at positions 35 to 154 of the family's 154-position model. The record is from RNAcentral.
GAUGAAGAACGUAGCGAAAUGCGAUAAGUAGUGUGAAUUGCAGAAUUCAGUGAAUCAUCGAAUCUUUGAACGCACAUUGCGCCCUUUGGUAUUCCAAAGGGCAUGCCUGUUCGAGCGUCAUUUGUACCCUCAAGCUUUGCUUGGUGUUGGGCGUCUUGUCUCUAGCUUUGCUGGAGACUCGCCUUAAAGUAAUUGGCAGCCGGCCUACUGGCUUCGGAGCGCAGCACAAGUCGCACUCUCUAUCAGCAAAGGUCUAGCAUCCAUUAAGCCUUUUUUUCAACUUUUGACCUCGGAUCAGGUAGGGAUACCCGCUGAACUUAAGCAUAUCAAUAAGCGGAGGA